AUGGAAGUUGCACAGUUUUUCAAUGGGACCUAGAAGCUGCUGGAGGUCCUCCUGGCAGCAACCCGAUGCAAACCAAAAAUCUGGAAGUCUUUUCACCACUCCAAGAUCUGAGGGUGACAUAUUUUGGAAGGAUCUGCAAUUUUCCAUCAUAAGUGUGACAAAAACUGACAAUCAGGAAGCUUAUGUACUCAGUGACAGUAGCACGUUUAUCUCCAAGAGACAUUUUAUUUGGAAGACAUAUGGGACCAACUUUUGCUGAAAGCACUGGUUCCCCUGUUGAAGUUUGCUAGGGAUGACAUCGGAUUUGGCUCAAUGAAAAGCUUCUCUUAUUCGCCUGAAAUUUCAUGAAGCCUUCUCACCAAGUGUGCCCACACCAGAAUUUCUAGGAAGAAACAGUUUCUUAAUGUAAUUUUCCCAAGUGGAACGACAUAUUGUAUGGAAUGUGUGAAUUCUGACUGUUGGUACUUGUAUAUACUUUGGAUUUCCCAGAGAAUCUGGCAAGCAAACAGAUUAAACCCUGGAAAUUCUGAUAGUGAGCUUGACCAAGCAGUUAUGAGUCAGUCCUACAUGAAUGAUGGCAUCACUACAAAGGAUGUCACUCAUGAGAGUGGAAAUAGUGACCUAAUACUAGGUUCUGCCACACUGUUAAAUCCUUGUGGGUAUUUAAUCAAUGGAAUGAAAUAGGAUGGAAUUUACCAGACUAUUCACAUCACUCCAGAAACAGAAUUUUUUACGUUGGCUUCAAAACCACCUUAAGUCAGACCUUCUGUGAUGACCUGAUUGGGAAAGUUGUGGAAGUCUUUCAUGCAGGAAAAGUUUUUACCACUUUGCUUGUAAAUCAUAGUUUUAAAUGUCACUCACUACCUUCUUUGCCCCUAGAAUAUGGAAGAUUUUAAAUGUCCUGAUUGCUAGAGUACUAUGUUCAAUGAUUACAAUUUUGUUUUUACCAGUUUUGCUAAGAAGCAGCCAACAGCAGAGCUGA
This 982-nucleotide long non-coding RNA is filed under the name Homo sapiens (human). RNAcentral's name for it is "non-protein coding lnc-RARS2-2:1". The record is from RNAcentral. Lineage: Eukaryota; Metazoa; Chordata; Mammalia; Primates; Hominidae.